RNAcentral lists this microRNA precursor (140 nucleotides) under Prunus dulcis (almond). RNAcentral describes it as "sRNA ncRNA". The record is from RNAcentral. Lineage: Eukaryota; Viridiplantae; Streptophyta; Magnoliopsida; Rosales; Rosaceae.
UAUUCUGUUAAGUUGACAGUUUGGUCAGACGUUAACUAAUGACGUGUCCAUAUUGAGAAUUUAAACUGAUGACGUUAAGGAAUUGGUGGGUUCUACAUUGGACACGUCAUCAGUUAAUAUCUGACCAAACGGUUUAUUUA